GUGCUUGCUUCAGCAGGACAUAUACUAAAAAUGGAACAGUAAUAGGUUAGUAUGGUCCCUGAACAAGAAUGACACUCAAAUUUGUGAGACAUUUCAUAUUUUA
Small nuclear RNA from Cavia porcellus (domestic guinea pig), 103 nucleotides. Lineage: Eukaryota; Metazoa; Chordata; Mammalia; Rodentia; Caviidae. The record is from Ensembl.